This 497-nucleotide ribosomal RNA is filed under the name uncultured bacterium. RNAcentral's name for it is "partial 16S ribosomal RNA". It matches the Rfam family "Bacterial small subunit ribosomal RNA", at positions 28 to 507 of the family's 1533-position model. The record is from RNAcentral.
GAUGAACGCUGGCGGCGUGCCUAAUACAUGCAAGUCGAGCGAACGGACGAGAAGCUUGCUUCUCUGAUGUUAGCGGCGGACGGGUGAGUAACACGUGGAUAACCUACCUAUAAGACUGGGAUAACUUCGGGAAACCGGAGCUAAUACCGGAUAAUAUUUUGAACCGCAUGGUUCAAAAGUAAAAGACGGUCUUGCUGUCACUUAUAGAUGGAUCCGCGCUGCAUUAGCUAGUUGGUAAGGUAACGGCUUACCAAGGCAACGAUGCAUAGCCGACCUGAGAGGGUGAUCGGCCACACUGGAACUGAGACACGGUCCAGACUCCUACGGGAGGCAGCAGUAGGGAAUCUUCCGCAAUGGGCGAAAGCCUGACGGAGCAACGCCGCGUGAGUGAUGAAGGUCUUCGGAUCGUAAAACUCUGUUAUUAGGGAAGAACAUAUGUGUAAGUAACUGUGCACAUCUUGACGGUACCUAAUCGGAAAGCCACGGCUAACUACGUG